CGCCAGACUCCUACGGGAGGCAGCAGUGAGGAAUAUUGGUCAAUGGGCGAGAGCCUGAACCAGCCAAGUCGCGUGAAGGAUGACGGCCCUACGGGUUGUAAACUUCUUUUGUCAGGGAGCAAUUGAGUCCACGUGUGGUCUUAGCGAGAGUACCUGAAGAAAAAGCAUCGGCUAACUCCGUGCCAGCAGCCGCGGUAAUACGGAGGAUGCGAGCGUUAUCCGGAUUUAUUGGGUUUAAAGGGUGCGUAGGCGGAAUAUCAAGUCAGCGGUAAAAAUUCGGGGCUCAACCCCGUCGUGCCGUUGAAACUGGCGGCCUCGAGUGGGCGAGAAGUACGCGGAAUGCGUGGUGUAGCGGUGAAAUGCAUAGAUAUCACGCAGAACUCCGAUUGCGAAGGCAGCGUACCGGCGCCCAACUGACGCUGAAGCACGAAGGCGUGGGUAUCGAACAGGAUUAGAUACCCUGGUA
RNAcentral lists this ribosomal RNA (466 nucleotides) under uncultured bacterium. Its description in RNAcentral is "bacterial SSU rRNA". It matches the Rfam family "Bacterial small subunit ribosomal RNA", at positions 329 to 792 of the family's 1533-position model. The record is from RNAcentral.